Molecule: ribosomal RNA, 301 nt
Filed under: uncultured bacterium
Lineage: Bacteria
Description: partial 16S ribosomal RNA
Rfam family: Bacterial small subunit ribosomal RNA
Source: RNAcentral
CAGUAGCCGCGGGAAUACGUAGGUGGCAAGCGUUGUCCGGAAUUAUUGGGCGUAAAGGGCUCGCAGGCGGUUUCUUAAGUCUGAUGUGAAAGCCCCCGGCUCAACCGGGGAGGGUCAUUGGAAACUGGGAGACUUGAGUGCAGAAGAGGAGAGUGGAAUUCCACGUGUAGCGGUGAAAUGCGUAGAGAUGUGGAGGAACACCAGUGGCGAAGGCGACUCUCUGGUCUGUAACUGACGCUGAGGAGCGAAAGCGUGGGGAGCGAACAGGAUUAGAUACCCGCGUAGUCCCUGUCUCUUAUAC